This is a long non-coding RNA of Phlebotomus papatasi, 1953 nucleotides long. RefSeq lists it as uncharacterized. The record is from RefSeq and is a predicted model, not a curated record. NCBI's taxonomy places the organism in Eukaryota, Metazoa, Arthropoda, Insecta, Diptera, Psychodidae. The transcript is spliced from 2 exons.
CGUGGGACAGGAGAUUUUUGCAGACGUCCGCGGGUCGCGUAUUUUUCGCGUAUUUUCGCAGAGCGCGUGUUUUUCGCUGAUUCUCGUGGGGCGCGAUUUUUCUCGCUGAUUUUCAUGGGACUCGAAUUUUUUGCGGUUUUUUCGCAGGUCACAUUUUUUUUUCACGGAUUGUUGUGGGGGCGUGUAUCUUUUCGCAAAUUUUUGCGUGGCGCGAAUUUUUCGCGGGAGUAGAAUUCUUUCGGGGAUUCCCGUUGAUUGCAUAUUUUUUCACUGGUUUUCUUUGGGGCACGUGUUUUCUCCCGUAUUUUCUUGGGGCGAGUAUUUUUCGUGGGCAAUGAAUAUCUUCGCGGAUUCUCACGAGUCGCUGACAGAGGCUCUAAACGAUGUAAAGUUGAAGCCUCUAUCUCUCAUAGUUUCCGAGAAAAGCGACUUUAAAGAUUUUCUGCUACUUUUCUGCAUUUCUCAUUUAAUUUUCCUUAUUAAUAACAAUGAUGAGUUACAUACUUAAACGAAAUUUGCAUUAUUUAUGUGUAAAUAUAUAAAAGGAGCAAAAAAGCUUAAUAGGAUUUCGAGAUAAUUCAGAAAAUAAACGUUCUUUCUUAGACAUUUUUCAAAAUAUCUGAAAUAUACACCUAAUUGUCGGAACCCAGGACGACAAACGCUGAGAGUUCUUGUAAAAAAAAAACCUCUAUCCUUUCGAAAAAUCUCUAUUUUGACAACGAAUUGUACAAGAACGGCUAAAGCGAUCUUAAUGAAAUUCGGUAUAGGGUCAGUGUAUAUCUUAAACUUUUUAUUUAUGCAUACCAUUCCUUCAUUCCACUUUCCGUUCUCGUAGCCCUCAUACAAAAUGAGAGUAUUUUGCCUUAUAACUCCUUUCUGAACGGAGGUAGAAAGCUGAAAUACGGCAUGGGAACAGACCUUAAAGAAGCCUUUUUAACCAUGUAUAUGGAGUCCUUCCUCCAUUAUCCUUUCAGGUAGACCCAAUAUAAAAUGAGAACAUUUUUCAACAAUCCUCACGGAGAUUUUUUCCAGCGAUUUCCGAUUUCCUCAAUUAUUUUUGAGGUUAUAGUUCAAACUUUCCUGGAGAAACGUUACUUGGAAGGUGGGAUAUGUUGCAAAUGGGGAUAAUUGAGAAUAAAAUCCACUCCUGAUGGUAUUCUGACCAGGAAUUUCUCAAAUAAAAGCAAGAAGGGAACAUUGAAUUGCAGGAUUCUAUAGAUUUUCCUCAAUUUUAUCAGGUUUCUGUCCGAAUUUCCCGGACAAACGUUACUGAAUGAAGAGUAGCUCUUGUAGACAGGGAUAGUUCAUACUGAUAUCCACUCCGGGUGGCGUUCUGACCAGGAAAUUGUCAUAAAACAAGAAGGAAACUUUACGUUGCCGAGAUUCCAGGAAUUUCCUCAAUUUUUUUUGAGAUUCCAGUCCAAAAUUCCCUGGAAAAACGUUACUGGAAGAGUAGAAUAUAUUGAAAACGGGAAAACAGUGGUUUUCUGGACAGGAAUUUGUCAAAUAAAAGCAAGAGGGAAACAUUGAAUUGCAGGAUUCUACAGAUUUCCUGCAAUUUUAUGAAGUUUCUGUCCGAAUUUCCCGGACAAACGUUACUGAAUGAAGAGUAGCUCUUGUAGACUGAGAUAGUUGGGAUUAAUGUCCACUCCGGAUGGCAUUCUGACCAGGAAUUUGUCAAAAAAUGCAAAAAAAGAAACUCUACGUUGCCGGGAUUCCAGGGAUUUCCUGCAAUUUUAUGAGGUUUCAGAUAAAUAAGAUCUGAGACCUAUUCUGUUGUUUAUCUUGGUCAGUAUUUUAGUAGUAAAAUGAAUCUUAGAUAAAAUCUUAAAUAAAAAUAUACUUACAUGACCUCUAUCUAAUGCCAAUAUUGUGAAGCAAUCAUGUGGUGUUGGUUAUCCUAACCUCUCUUAUCUAAAAAAAAAAAAAACAACAAAAACCUAACCUUCAAUU